This 467-nucleotide ribosomal RNA is filed under the name uncultured bacterium. Its description in RNAcentral is "bacterial SSU rRNA". It matches the Rfam family "Bacterial small subunit ribosomal RNA", at positions 338 to 795 of the family's 1533-position model. The record is from RNAcentral.
CCUACGGGGGGCUGCAGUCGAGAAUAGUCUACAAUGGUCGAAAGACUGAUAGUGCGACGCCGCGUGAACGAAGAAGCCCUUCGGGGUGUAAAGUUCUUUUAUAUGUGAGCAGUGGGUUCCAUAUGAAUAGUAUGGGAUCAGAGAUAUUAGCAUAUGAAUAAGCAACGGCUAACUCCGUGCCAGCAGCCGCGGUAACACGGGGGUUGCGAGCGUUGUCCGGAAUUACUAGGCGUAAAGGGCAGGCAGGCGGAUCUAUAAGUUUUUCGUUUAAGGCGUCAGCUUAACUGGCGUACGGCGGGAGAUACUGUAGAUCUGGAAUGCGGUUGGGGAAGACAGAAUUCCUGGUGUAGCGGUGGAAUGCGCAGAGAUCAGGAGGAAUACCGAAGGCGAAGGCAGUCUUCCAAGCCGUCAUUGACGCUCAACUGCGAAGGUGUGGGUAUCAAACAGGAUUAGAUACCCCGGUAGUC